UACGUAGGGUGCAAGCGUUGUCCGGAAUCAUUGGGCGUAAAGCGCGUGUAGGCGGUUCAGUAAGUCUGCUGUGAAAGUCCAGGGCUCAACCCUGGGAUGCCGGUGGAUACUGCUGGACUAGAGUGCGGAAGAGGCGAGUGGAAUUCCCGGUGUAGCGGUGAAAUGCGCAGAUAUCGGGAGGAACACCAAUUGCGAAGGCAGCUCGCUGGGACGUUACUGACGCUGAGACGCGAAAGCGUGGGGAGCAAACAGG
Molecule: ribosomal RNA, 253 nt
Filed under: uncultured bacterium
Lineage: Bacteria
Description: partial 16S ribosomal RNA
Rfam family: Bacterial small subunit ribosomal RNA
Source: RNAcentral